Molecule: long non-coding RNA, 1907 nt
Organism: Benincasa hispida (wax gourd)
Lineage: Eukaryota; Viridiplantae; Streptophyta; Magnoliopsida; Cucurbitales; Cucurbitaceae
Source: RefSeq, a predicted model, not a curated record
CAAUGGAUGUGGAAUUAAUCCACUUGAUAUCCACACAGGGACUUGCACUGAAACAGUUGUCCCAAUAAUAAAGCCAAAGUUCACUAUAUCAAAGUAAAAAGGAUGAAAGCAAGAAAAAGAGAGGGCAGAUGCAAUUGUUAAGAUGCUAGCUUGACAAAAGUUUGAGCACAAAAAGUCAAGAAUUUUGGGCAAAUUCAAAAGUCUGAAGAUCGCAAGGCAACUGUAUGAAUAUUAUCAUUAUCAAAUCCUUGUGAAGAUCUUUCUCUCUUCGUAGAUAAUGUAGUUUGACAGUUUAUAGUUCUCUUUUGCUGACAUUUAUUUUUUUUCAUGUAACGACUUGUAUUCAGCCACUAGAAAUAAAGACAUCCCACCAUCCUUGUUAGCCAACUGAGUAGGGCCUUGGAAUAUUAAAUAGAGAAAUCCUCAAUAAGGUUCGUUCAAAUAUACAUUUUAAUUUCACAACAGGUUCUAACUUCCAUUAGUGGAACUGGGAAGAUCUUAAAAAGUAGAUGGUGAGUGAGAUUCAACUUGGAGCUGCCUUCAAGAGCGAGAGAGAGAGAAAGCUUCUUCUCAUCAUACUGGUGUCAACUAAAAAGCUUUUCAGUUCUUUUUUCUUUUCUCACCAAACAACUAAAAGCUAUGUUGCAUCAACUUAAGAUACGGUUUCAGUGCUUUCCAUGUGGGACAAUUUUCAGUAAUUUUUUUAUACAGUUGUGUUUAAAAAAAGGAUUCUGAAUUGUUCAAAAAGUUACUAUGCAACUAUUCUUGCUAUCCAUGAUUUGUGUCUUUCUGUCAUUUCUGUGGACAACAAUUAUUCUAAAAUUAAGGACUAUUCUACACACAAAAAAAAGAAAAAAAAACUUUUGAAAUACAUUUUCAUGGUAUUUUUAAAUAAGUUAUUACAAAAGGCAGAGAACAGAUUUAUGACACUAUACCUGAAGAGUACCCAUCUGCUUGUACAAAAAAAUUAACCUACAUAGGUUUAACCUUUAAAAUCCCCCAUUUCAACCCACGGACUGCCUAAUGAGGUAGGAGAUCUAAUUUACUCGACUCUGACAAUAAAGUUCUAAGUCUAACUUCCUUCCGCGCAUGUAGACCAAAGAAACUUUUGCUGAUCUGAUCUAAUAUCUGGACACUUUCAAAAGUUUCAAUUCAUUAGCAACAGGCCAUUUGUUCAAGAACAAUCGACGCUUUCUUGUAGACAAAUACAAGGGAAACAAACAAAAUCCCCUGGCCAUAUCAAAUACAAAAAACUAGAGGUUAACUUUGUAGGCAUGCAAGAUCAGAUAACUUUGAUUAUAGUUUAUCUGAACUAAAAUGGUAGAGCAUAUCCUCAUCAUUCCCCACCGCUGUUUCAUACUAAAUAUAUGAUAUAUCCAAUUGAAAAUAACCACUACUUAGAAGAUGCCAAAAUUACAUCCAUCGCAUCUGUACCAGUCGACCGUGACAUAAUAGCAAGUUCAAAUUAGCUCGGCUUCGUAGAUACAUAUCACUUAUUAAUACUUUAAAGCAGACUAAUCAAUUAGGAUCAAAUAACAUCUUCAUUUUCUUGCUAAGCUGGCAAAAGUUUCCACUAUAUGCACAGCGUCGGAUUUAAUAAGCCAUCCUUGCAGCAGAGCAAAGUAUUGUGAAAAAACUAAUAAUAAAUAAUCUGGACUGGAUCAUCUUUGAUAAAUACACACACAUAUAUAUGGGGAAAGUUAAAAAGUGCUUAUGUUCCAUGAAAUUGAAGAUUUAUAAUUUGGCUCGAUAAAAAGUAAGCACUGAUUUAAGUUUCCACUUACAGUUACACUAUUAGAUGUUGCCCAGGCCAUGAAGUUGAAGGGUGCAUUCUCUCCUUCUACCACAAUACCAGCAGAUAGCUCACACAAGGUCGUCCUCGCAAUACCUGCCCAGCAGAGAAGCAU